UUUCCGUAGGUGAACCUGCGGAAGGAUCAUUAUUGAAUCAAACACUUCUGGCUUUAUGCUGUUGUGCUGGUCCUUUGGGCAAUGUGCACACGGCUCUGGUCACUUGUUUCUUCUGUUUUACCUGUGUACGGCCUGUAGAGACGCUGUGUCUUUGAUAUUUGUUAACACGCAACAAUGUUAGUUGGCAUGUUAUAUAUAAUAAUAAAAUAUACAACUUUCAACAACGGAUCUCUUGGCUCUC
Molecule: unclassified non-coding RNA, 241 nt
Filed under: plant metagenome
Description: partial contains small subunit ribosomal RNA, internal transcribed spacer 1, and 5.8S ribosomal RNA
Source: RNAcentral